CAACCUGCCCUUCGGCGGGGGAUAACACACCGAAAGGUGUGCUAAUACCGCAUAGUUUGUCGGAUCGCAUGGUCUGACACUAAAGGUGGCCUCUUCUUGAAAGCUAUCACCGAAGGAUGGGCUCGCGUACCAUUAGUUUGUUGGUGGGGUAACGGCCUACCAAGACUGCGAUGGUUAGUUGGUCUGAGAAGAUGAUCAGCCACACUGGGACUGAGACACGGCCCAG
RNAcentral lists this ribosomal RNA (226 nucleotides) under uncultured bacterium. Its description in RNAcentral is "partial 16S ribosomal RNA". It matches the Rfam family "Bacterial small subunit ribosomal RNA", at positions 122 to 334 of the family's 1533-position model. The record is from RNAcentral.